AUGAGAGUGUAAAAAUACAGCACACAGUGCUAGUCACAAGCAGUCAGAAGCCCUUACUGGAUGCCCAAGGAGGCUGAGGCUGCCUUUACCUGCUGUAAACAUUCCAGGCACAGCUGCCACGGGACAUUUGGUCCCCUGGGUGUCUCCUGAGCAGUCACGUUGAAGUUGCUCCAUUUUGCUUAAACUGAGAAAUAUUAGGCCAGAGAGAGAAGCUGAACCUGUGGCUGAUGGCUUUGUUUGACACUCUUGUGUGAGAAUCCAGAUCCUCCUUCCUUCAGGGAGUAGGCAGCUUAGCAUGAAUUUGCACAUCUGCAUAGCAAAGGCUGCUCUAGCCUGCUGUCAGCCGAGCCAGCCUCAGAGCUGAAAACAUUGUAGCCUCCCUUGUUUGGCAUUGCUGGUGAGCUAAUUAGCCUUGCAGAUAAGCCUAACUAGCUGGGACCAGCUACACUCUGCUAGAGAUCUAUGGCUUUCAGGAACUCCUGUCUUUACAUACCUGGUAAUUACAGCUGUGGAAGCACCAGCUGGGUACAGCUCUUCGCCCUCUUCUACUGCAGACUGAACUCAUGGCCCUCAUCCCUUGAGAAAACUCUCAUCUUCAACAAAUUGCUCUCAGAUUUUGGACUUCCCAUUUCCGUGGUUUGUAAGGCUGAACAGAAAGAACCGAGCAAAAAGAAGCUGGAUGACGUAAAAGACUAUUUGCUCCCACUAUAAAGAACACCAGGCUAGGGAGGCAAUGAACUUGUGAGGUUUCCUGAGGAAACUACCUUGCCAUAGCAACCAAAGGCUUUUUAGAGCUAACAGAGGAAAAGGUUGAUUCUUGACAUCUGGGGUACAGCUCCAAUCACCCUUCUCAUGCCUCUACACCAAAGCUCUAGAUCAUUCAGCUCUAGAAUUCAUGUUUCUAUUUGAUUUAAAAUCUUAGAAGAAACUUAAAAUUGCCUACAGAAGGCAAAACAAUAGUGACACCUGAACAGCAAUGGCUUUCUCCCGGAUUUCCAGGAGGCAAUGCAGUAGAUGUGAGAUCAUCAGAACCAUGCCACUGCAGUUCUUCCCACCCUGGGAACUACCAAGUACCUUUGCCAUGGAGCACUGAUAGGAGCACAGAGAUGCAGCUGAGAUUUAGCUAAUGGCAGACAAUGUUCCAAAUGAAGACAAAGAAUGCUCCUGCAUCCUCUCAGUAGUCUUUUUGUUUUCACUCCACAAAUGCAUGAAAGAGCUGUUCAUUGUACUGGUGCUGUGCCAAGGAAGAAAGUAAUUCAUGGUUUUGACCUUCAGUGGAUUGGACCAAAAUACUGAUGCUAAAUCUCUCCUUCACCACAUGACUGACCUCCCACGUGCUACCCAGGAAACCCUGAAUCUUCACAUUGUAUUUUUCUAUUUAGUUCAGGCACAGAAGAAAUACUGCAGAGCUUGUUCCUAGUUGAAAAUUAUUGGUGAAAAAUGUUGCUUUCUCUACCAGGUCUGAUUAAAUGGGAUUAGGUUACUAAGAAGCUGACAAAGGAAAAAAUAAAGCUUUAUGCCACAUUUCCA
Molecule: long non-coding RNA, 1530 nt
Filed under: Junco hyemalis (dark-eyed junco)
Lineage: Eukaryota; Metazoa; Chordata; Aves; Passeriformes; Passerellidae
Description: lncRNA (ENSJHYG00000011454.1)
Source: RNAcentral